Molecule: long non-coding RNA, 1413 nt
Organism: Rosa rugosa (rugosa rose)
Lineage: Eukaryota; Viridiplantae; Streptophyta; Magnoliopsida; Rosales; Rosaceae
Exons: 2
Source: RefSeq, a predicted model, not a curated record
UGAUUUUGGAGCCAUUUCUUUUGAGAAAUAAACAAUACUUGGAUUACAUUAUAAAAAUGAAGUGCUGCUUCACCUUCCAUUUUGUUUAAUAAUGGUUUUCAUGUCUUUAGCAACAUGGAAGCUGACGUGAAACUUCAGCAUCAAUAGAUAAGUUCUUUAGUUUUAUGUUUUGCUAGUGUUGAAUGGUUAAUUGGUAUGUGUGGCUUCCUCUUGUCCCGCGUAUAUAUUGAUGGUGAUGGAGACAGUUGGUAUUUACAAUUUGACAAUUCCAAUGUCCAAAGCAGUCUAUGGAAAAAUUUACAGAUUUUUUUGGCAUAUUACAGAGUCAAUAUUCUUUGUUGUUUUCUUUCCAUUGCACCUACCUUAAAGUUUUGUAUAUCAGUCCAAAUACUCAUCUUAUUGCUUUGCUUGUUUUGUUUCCAGAGGUUGCUUUUUGUGCGGCUGUUGUAGCUAAUCUCAACAUAAAGAGUUGUAUACUUUGCAUGAUUGAUCAUUAUACAAGUCCAGAUUACUGAAGGACCAAAUUCUCAAAUAAAAAGUUAUAUUUAGUUUGUGGAUCUGCCUGAUUGUGAAAUUGAUGGAGGGUGCGAUUAGGUGCUCCACCAAGUCACCAACUAUGUUCCUCUUUCUCCGAUCAGCUUCCUGGAGCGCUCAGCCAUAGUCUACAGAGACAGACCCUCUAUUAUGUAUGGAGACAUCGUCUACACUUGGAGACAGACACUUGAACAAUGCACCAGACUUGCUUCUGCUCUUGCCCAACUUCGAAUUUCUCAAGGCGAUGUGGUUCCUGGUCUUGUUCUUCGCAUGUGAUUGGUAGCUCGUCAGUAGGUAGUUUGAUCAAAAGGAUUUCACUCCUAUCCCCAUGGUGACUCGAACCCAUGAGUUCGUCAGUAGGUAGUGGGUGCUCUAACCACUGACUCAAACCUAACAAAUUCCAUUAAUGUUUAAAUGCUCAAACCUAACCCAUCAUCAUUUGUUUAAAGCCAAAUAGUUUUGCUUGGUAGCCUAUAAAUAGAGGCUACAACAAAGAAGAAAAACACAUUCCUUCAUCCAUUUCAUCUUCUUUGUCUCUCCAUUUCCUUUCCAUUUUCCUCUCCAUCCUCUAGUUUCAAGUUUCUGCAUUUUCAAGCAAAGAGAAGAAGAGAAGAAGAAGCCAUGAAGCCUCCUAGCCGUCAUCAUCCACCUUGUGCCGUGAUAGUGAAGUCUUGCUUUCAAGAUUCAAGAUCAACGUCUCAAGCUCUUCAUCAUCCACUCCCUUCACGGUGUAAUUCUAUCUUUUUCCUUGUAACUUCUUUUGGUUUUCUUUGUUUGGAUUUGUAGAACUAUGAAUUGUAAUUAACAUAAACGUUUAGGGCAAAGUUUAAGCCUAAUUUCUAUGUUUGAAUAAAGAUUUCGAAUUCCAUAAUUGUGAUU